GCGGAUCCAUAAUUCGUUAGCAAAGCGCUUUGUUACUUGCACACGCGGCGCAUUUCUCAAACGCCGUCGUUAAUAGCAACAAAGACAAGAAACCAAACCAUCUGCUUGCCUUUUGUUUUGAGGUUAUCCUUUGGAUUGUCGUCACCUGGUAACCAUGGUAACAGGACCACAUGACGACAAUGGCGAAACCUUGGGAGGCUUUGUGAGCAGAGAAACUAACUGGACUUCUUUUCUAUCUCUUUAAACCAACAUCUUCUCGUCAAUUGUGAAGAUGGAUAUGAUGAGGAUGAAGGUCACACCGCAGGAGCGAGGAGUCACACAAACAAACCACUUCCUGUCUGAUCAAAGUGGCGCAGCGGUAGCAUCUCUUCAUCUCAUCACUGCUGCAAUCUCUAAAACAACCCUCCAGGCUUUCUUCAUCUUCAUGUCUCGAUAUAUAUAUAUAUAUA
Syngnathoides biaculeatus (alligator pipefish) is the source of this 449-nucleotide long non-coding RNA. RefSeq lists it as uncharacterized. Lineage: Eukaryota; Metazoa; Chordata; Actinopteri; Syngnathiformes; Syngnathidae. The record is from RefSeq and is a predicted model, not a curated record. The transcript has 3 exons.